RNAcentral lists this long non-coding RNA (9663 nucleotides) under Homo sapiens (human). RNAcentral describes it as "non-protein coding lnc-HAS1-2:1". The record is from RNAcentral. Lineage: Eukaryota; Metazoa; Chordata; Mammalia; Primates; Hominidae.
GCUGGUCUUGCUUGAUCACGCAGGAGAACGUCCCGCGGUGCGUGAGCUGAGCCGGCCGGAUCCGCGCCAGGUAUCCUUCGGCCCGCGGCAUAUCUCGGAAAUAGGACAAGUCCUGAGUCCGGAGCUGCGGGACACGCGGGUUUAAACGCCUCAACUCCGGCUUGCCACUGAGUAACCUACAAGCCCCGCCCCCCGAGCCAGACCACGCCCCCUGGAGUCCUGGCCCUGAGCCUUGAGCCCGCCCCCGAGCCUUCUCGCUCCCCUGCCCUAAACGCACCCCUUCCCCUCACUCCUUAAACCCUUACGCAUAACCUACCCCUAGAAACUGCUUUUAUUUAUGUAUUUUUUUUUUCUUCCAGACAGGGUCUCGUUCUGGCGCCCAGGCUGCAGUGCAGUGGCGCGAUCAUAGCUCACUGCAGCCUCAAACUCCUGGACUUAAGCAGUCUUCCCGCUCAGCCUCCCCAGUGGCUGGGACUAUAGGCGUGCACCACCACGCCCCGGCUGUUUUUAAAAUUUUUUGGCAGAGGAGGGGUCUUAAUUUGUUGCCGAGGCCGGUCUCAAACUCCUGGGCUCAAGCCAUCCUCCCGCCUUGGUCUCCAAAAGCGCUGGGAUUACAGGCGUGAGCCAUCGCCCCAGGUCCUUGGUCCUGCAUUCUGAUCUUCGAGCUCUCCCCUAAAUCCCGCGACCCUCCUCUUGCUGAUGCUUGUGUCUAGACGGAGAUUCCCGGAGUCCCGUCCCCGCAAGCUGACUCCCCAACCUCUAGUGAAGGCUAACUCGCCCGUCUAAACUCUUCGCGCCGGCCCCGCCCCGACUCACACCUCCUCCUGCGAACUUCCAGGAAUAGGUGAUCUCCUCCUUUGGCAGCUGGAAGUUUACGAUGCAAGAAAACAUAGCCUGGUCGCCCCGAGUCACUGUCACAUCCUGAACUGAAGACGGAGCAGGGUUCACUCGCUGGGCCCCGACCACGUCUGGCCUCGCCACCAGCUUAUGCCCCUCGGUGCUCUGGUCCCUUUUCUCAGGUUGGCCUCCUGCACCCCGAGGCCCCGCCCCCUCACCUGGGCAGUCCAGCGGGAGGUCGCAGACCCUAGAGUAGCACCCGCUGCAGAGGAAACGCCGGGCGAACUCCUGGAGACCUGUGGAGCGGGAACGCUGGGUCUAGGCGCCACCUGCCCUUCCAAGCCCGGGGCCCUUGGCCCAUUUGAGAUCCAUGCAGCUUCCCGGGGUCCAUCGGCCAGGUGGCAUCUUGACCCCGCCCUCCCUGCUGUCUUUGGCCGACUCUCACUCCUCUCCGCCCUCUAGGAUUCCUAUUGGUUUGCUUCGGCUCUCACACACACCUUCUGAGGAUUUAGAGCAAUACUUGGUUUUCUUCCUUUUCUCCAGGGAUCUUAUUGGCUUCCUAAGGAUGUGAAGCCCACCCGCUUUCCCACACUUGAUGUCGUACGUUUCGUCCCCGACCGCCUCCCUUACCCCGCAAUUUCCAAGUUUUAGAUGAAGUCCUUACCGCAGGGAGGGAUGCAAGCCUGGGCUGUGGAGGAAGAGGAAACAUCACUACCUUACAGUCAUGGGAAGAACCCUUGCCCGAUGCUCCCCUAGCUAAUGUUACAAGGCCCGAAGCAUUGCUCCGAGGGGGCGGGGCCAAGCUUUCGUCAUAACCUGGGGGCGGGGUCAAGCCGGCUGGGUUCCACCUGGGGCCGGGGCCAAGCCUGAGCAUUCCACUAGGAGGUCAGGCCCAGGACUGCUGCCAGCCUUCUACUUGGGGUUUAGAGGGAAACACACUGGUUUUCUGUAGGCCCUGAUGGGGAUGGGCAAUCCAGGUGUAUUCCACCGAGGAGGCGGGGCUAGAUCCUGGGCGAUCCUUGCAGGAGACCAAGGCUAAGGUGGUGGCCCAGUUAGAGAAGAGGCGUGGCCAGGUUAGUAGUAGUCCCGGAAAGGGGCUCAGUUGGAGACGAAACCUUUCAUCGAAGGGGCGGGGCCAGAUCAAAAAUGGUCCACGCGGGGAAAUAGUCGUCCCUCAAGGUCUGAGGCUCAGAGAUGGGGCCAGGGGAUUGUACGGGGAGUGGAUGGGGGGUCUCAGGAGUGGGUUUCGUUUUGAGAUGGAGUCUUGCUCUGUCACCCAGGCUGGAGUGCCGAUCUCGGGUCACUGCAACCCCGCCUCCAGGGUUCAAGCAAUUUUCCUGCCUCAGCCUCCUGAGUAGAUGAGAUUACAAGCAUGCGUUACCACGCCCAGCUAAUUUUAGUAUCUUUAGUAGAUAUGGGUAUCACCAUGUUGGUCAGACUGCUUUUGAACUCCUGAUCUCAAGUGAUCUGCCCGCCUCAGCCUUCCAAAGUGCUGGGAUUACAGGCGUGAGCCACCAUCCCCGGCCAAAAGUGGGGUUUUCUAAUUGUGUGUGUGUGUGUCUGGGGAAGGAGAGAUGGAGUGUAUUUUACCUUCUUUAAGCUGUGUAAUGACCUUCUUCAUUUUCUCCGCAGCAUCAGGGAAGGCAACCUCAAAGGAUCCUGGAGAGUGGAGGGGAGGACGGCCUGUGUAGUAAAGCCCUUCCCCCAGGGCUUGGUCCUUGGUCCUGCAUUCUGAUCUAGCCUGGCUAGGGCUAGGCUGGCCCUAGCUCACAGGACGUACUGUCAUGGUAUCUGCCCUUCCCUGGCCCCUCUUCACCCCUCUCAUUACCAUAUUCUCUGCUCCUCUUCUCAUCACCCGCCCUCUGUAGUUGAAGGCUAACAAGUCCCUAAGUCUCCUUUCUUCUGCCUCCUGAAUCUCUCCAGGAUGGAAGUCCUCCUGGACAUCACCUGCAUGUAGCUUGUUGGGGGGAGAAGGGGAGGAUAAAGAUCAAAUUCCUCACCAAGGCCUAUUAGGUCUUACAUGGUUUGGCCUAGUUCCCCCUCCCUCCCUGUCCCAUCCCUACUGCCCACCUUUCAUUUCCUUUAUUUUAUUUUAUUCAGACAGUGUCUCACUGUCACCCAGGCUGGAGUGCAGUGGUGCGAUCUCGGCUCACCGCAACCUCCGCCUCCUGGGUUCAAGUGAUUCUCCUGCCCUAGCCUCCCGAGUAGCAGGGACUGCAGGUGUGCACCACCACGCCUGGCUAAUUUUUGUGUUUUUAGUAGAGAUGGGGUUUCACCAUGUUGGCCAGGCUGGUCUCGAACUCCUGACCUCAAGUGAUCCACCCACCUCAGCCUCCCAAAGUGCUGGGGUUACAGGCAUGAGCCACCGUGCCUGGCCUCAUUUCCUUUAAUAUGAAAACCACCACAUUCCCUAGCACCUCAGGGCCUUUGCACAUGCUGGCUUGUUUUUAGCACAUUUUUCCUUCUCCUAAUCAUCCUUCCAUCACCACAAAUCUAACCAAGUUCCCUGUUUUUGUCUCUCAUCGCAAUCAUUUCAUUCCUAGCUCUCAUCUGUCUGCAAUUACAUAUAUUUAUAUAUAGAUGAUGAUCACUUAUGUCUGUCUCGUAAGUAAAUAAACAUGUUCUUCUGUAGCACUGUGUCCUCUGGAUCCUGGAGAGGGCCCUCAGUCUUAGAAGUGCUCAGUAAGUAUUUGUACAAUGAAUUCCAGGAUCCAACUUGAACUGGAGACCCCAGCUGGUGGCCUAUGACCCAAAUCCAUCCCUGGGAUGUGUUAUAUUUGGCCUGGAAAGUGUUUAAAAGAAAAUGAACCAGUUGCCAACAUAUAAAAUUUGGAAUGUCAAAUAAAACGUUUGGCAUCUCUUUUUUACAAAGUUGGAAGAGCUGUAACACAGAGAUCGCAUUUCCAUAAGGCAGCAAUUAGCUGGAGAUGGGUAGCAGUCACUCCCUUGAAAUGGGGCACACACCGGCCACUUCUCCAUAGUCCCCAGCCUCUAUUCACUUCUAUAUUUACCCAUCUUUUACUCUUUUAUGUUCCUUGUCUUUGUAGGUGUUUGUUUUGUUUUGAGAUAGAGUCUCGCUCUGUUGCCCAGGCUGGCGUACAGUGGUGUGAUCUUGGCUCACUGCAACUUCCACCUCCCAGGUUCAAGUGAUUCUCCUGCCUCAGCCUCCCCAGUAGCUAGGAUUACAGGCACCCACCACCAUGCUCGGCGAAUUUUUAUAUUUUUAGUAGAGAUGGGGUUUCACCAUGUUGGCCAGGCUGGUCUCAAACUCCUAACCUCAGGUGAUCCGCCUGCCUCGGCCUCCCAAAGUGCUGGGAUUACAGGUGUGGGCCACCAUGCCUGGCCUUGUGUUUUGACCACUGCAAUGGCCUCCAAAUUGUAUGGGUUUGUGGCUUGUUCCAGUGGAAUAAGAAUAGACAGCUGACUUGAUCUCGUGGUGAUUUGUGGAAAUCAGUAAUGUGGCAGGGUUUUAUCGGCUAAAUCGUGCCGCCCACCCCCCAUCCCCCGCAACCAAACUUGUAUGUUGAAGUCCUAACUCCCAGUACCUCAGAAUGUGACUGUACUUGGUUCUUAAAGAGGUGAUUAAGUUAAAAUGAGGUCAUUAGGGUGGGCUGUAAUGCAGUAUGAUUGGUGUCCUUAUGAGAAGAGGAAAUUAGGACACAGAGAUGCACACAGGGACAUAUGAAGGAAGGCAUCUACAAGCCAAAGAGAGAGGCGUGAGAAGAAACUAACCCUGCUGACACCAAAACCUUGGUCUCAGACUUCUAGAAGGCAGAAACUUCUGUUGUUCGAGUCACCCAGUCUACGGUACUUUGUUACAGUGGUCCUAGCAAACCAACACACAGGAAUUGUUCACUGCCUCCAAAUACCUAUAUAUCUAUAACCUAUAUCCACAGAACACAGAUAAAAAGCUUCAUCUCCCAGCCUUCCUUGCAGUUGUGGUCAUGUGACCAAGUUGUAGCCAUAGGAUGCAAAUGGAUGUGUUAUGUGAGUCACAGGAGGUGGCCUUAAAAGGGAGGUGGUACCGCACCUGGAAUCACAGCUACUCGGGAGGCUGAGGUGACAGGAUCACUUGAGGCCAGGAGUUCGAGACAAGCCUGGGCAACAUAUCCAGACACCAUCUCUAAACAAAUUUUUAUAAAUUAGCCAGGUGUGAUGGUGUGCUUGUAGUCUUAGCUACUCAGGAAGCUGAAGUGGGAGGAUGGUUGAGCCCAGGAGUUCAAGGCUGUAGUGAGCUAUGAUUGCACCACUGCCCUCCACCCAGCCUGGGCAAUAGAGCAAGACCCUGUCUCUAAAAAACAAAGACAGAGAAGGUGGUGCCAUCUUAUUGUUCCCCUCAUCCAUCCUGCUGCCUGAAAAUUUGUUUUGAUGGUUGGAGCUCUAGCAGCCACACGGGACCAUGAGGACAAGGGCUACUCCCUGGGAUAUUAAGUCUUGAAGGAGCUUGGAUCCCCAAGAAAUGGAGGUGCCAUAUUAGCCUUAAGUGCCUACCACAAGACUUACUUUAUAUAGGAGAGCUAAACUUCCUACGGGCUUAAAGCCAUUGCAGGGACAGGGGAAAGCGUCCUCUGUGAUUAAAGCCAUACAAAAAGGGAGGGAACUGAGGAUAUUGGCAAGAAAGUGCCUAAAACAAUGAUCACUGGAUAUACACUUGGAGAGAGGAAGCACUGAUGCCCAGAAGUGGGUUCCAAAUGAGGACCCAGUGGUCUCUCCUUGGCCACAGAGCAGGAGUGUGGUCUCAAGAUGGCAGGAUGAUCAGGAGCAUGUGGUCAGACUGGGGUGCACAAAUGAGAGGCCAGGAUGUUGGAGGAGUCAUCCAAAGAAUUUCUAUGUGCCAAAUCAAAUGACUCAUGGGCAGGGUGAGCGUGGGAUAUACCAAGUAAGCCAUGGUGGCCGGGUGGGCUUAUACUCCACCAGGGGAGUAUAAGUGGAGUGAAAUGUUCCGAACAGGCCAAGUGGCCUGGGUUAUAGCAAGCGGGCCAUAAGGCGGCAUGGGUGGGUGUUGUAAAGUCUCCCCCAGAGGAGUUGCAUAUCGUCAGGAGCUCUGACCCUGGUUCAGAUCAUCUGGGUCUGAGUCCUGGUGCUUCCGUCUUGAGCACACCUGUCUCAGAUCUGAGUAUCAAUCACAAGCCCUCCUCCCCAUGCGACCUUGGCCAAGUGACUUCACCUUCCUGAUCCUCAGUUUCCUCAUUCAUCAAAUGAGGAUGACAGCAGUGUCUGUAUCACAGAAUUAGCGGGAGGAUGAGACGCCAUACAACCAUGAAAGCAUCCUCAUCCCCACUCUUCCAUGGCAUCGUUUAAUGAUUGUAUGAGAUGGUGUCACUAAGUGUGUAGAAUGGCUCCUAGCACGUAGUGAGUGUUAGAGAAGGCUGGCAAACUUAGGAUUGCCAUCUCCAAGUUUGAGGUGGGGAAACGGAGGCAUGGGGAGAUUAGAGAAGUGGUCCAAAAUCACAUGGCUACAUUUGACCCUGGUGGUCAGGCUCCAGAGCCUCCACACCUAAUCGCUGCAUACAUAAUCUCCACACCUAAUACUGCAUCCAGUCUGUACCACGUCAUCUACUCCAUGGUUUAUAUAUACAUAUAUACAAAUAAGAUCACCUGGGAUCACCAAGAGGCAGUCAGCCUACAUCAGCUCCUCCAUCUCCCUGCUGCUCCCUCUGGAGGAGACGCAAAAGUCAUCCUUGAUUCUUCCCAUUGCCCUCACCCACCUACAUCUGGUCCAGUCUAUCUCCAAAUAUAUCCUGGGCCUACUGUUCUUGUCCAGAAGAGCCCAGCGUUCCCUUCUGAUAAGCGGGGCUAUAAAACCCAGCCUCACAGGGCCGGUAGAGGAUAUCCUUUAGGAAGAUACUUAAUAUGAAUGACUCUGUGUAUGGCAAACACAGCCUUUUGCACGCAUGGGCAAGCCUGGCACACGGUCAAAUCCUUAUGCCCACCCCACUCUGCUCAGACCUCAUCUGGGCCCCCGGACCACUGUGACUGGUCCAAGCCACCAUGGGCCGGCUUCUCACUGGAAGUCUUCCUGCCUUUGUCCAGGCCCCAUACAGCUGCCAGAGAGAUCUUGUUAAAUCCCAGGUCAGAUCCUGUCUCUCUGUGUAAAGUCCUCCAACAGCUCCCCCAUUUCAAGAGCAAAAAACAAAAGUCAUUCCAAGGGCCUACAACAGUGAUUCUCAAAGAGUGUUCCCGGAGCAGCAGCAUCAGCAUUCCCUGGGAUCUUGACAGAAACGUCCAUGUCUGGGCCCUACCUUGGACCUCCUGGUCAGAGGUGGUGAAGCCCAGAAAUCUGCAUUUUAAAUAAGCUCCCAGGGGAUUCUGAUGUAUGCUGGGGCUUGAGAACCCCCUGUCUAUGAGGAUCUACAGGAGGUGGCCCCUUGCUAUCUCUCUGAUUUCACCUUUACUCCAGCCCCACGGGCCCCAGGGUCUUGCACUGGCUAUUCCCUGUGGCCUGAAAAUCUCUUUCCACAGAUUAUCUGCAUGGCUGUCGCUGUCACUGUCACCUUGCUCAGGUCUUUGCUCAACUGGACCCUGUCAUUUCCACCUGCCCUGACCAACCUAUUUAAAAUUAUCACCCAGCCAGGUACGGUAGUUCAUGCCUGUAAUCCCAGCACUUUGGGAGGCUGAGGUGGGAAGAUCACUUGAGCCCAGGAGUUCAAGACCAACCCAUGCAACAUAACAAGACACCAUCAUUACAAACUAUUUAAAAAAUUAGCCAAAGAUGGUGGCGCACACCUAUAGUCCCAGCUACUUGGGAGGCUGAGGCAGGAAGAUCGCUUGAGCCCAGGAGUUUGAAGCUGUAGUGAGGUAUAAUCACAUCACUGCAAUCCAGCCUGGGUGACAAAGUGAGACCCUAUCUCAAAAAAACAAAAAAACUAUCACCCCUUUCUCUUCCCCUUCUCUGUUUUCCUCCAUGGCAGGGAUCACCAACUGACAUACUAAGAUACUAAGAUAUUUUAUCGAUUAUGUUUAUUGUCUAUCUCCCCAGACUCCACCCCAAUAUAAGCAACCCGAGGACAGGUGGUUUGCAGUUUUGGUCACAGCGGUUGUUCCUGGCACAUUCAGUAAGUAUAAUUGAACGUAUUGCACCAGCUUCUCCCGGCCUCCAGACUCUCCCUCUGGUCCAUCUUUGACACGACCCCAGAGGGUUCUUUCUACACCCAGAGCUGCCCCUACUUCUUCACUGCUCACACUCCUGCUGCAGCUCCCCAGCGCCCUGAGGAAAGAGACUCAACACUCUCUGACUUUUCUGCUGAACUCUGCACCUAGGUAUCUAGCUGCCUCCUAAACGUCCCUGGGACCCCUCAAAGUCACUGCCUUCUAACCCAGCUUAUCAUCUGCCCCCGGCUCUUUCUCUCAGGCUCCUUAUUUCGGUGAUGACCCACCGCCCAACAGGCACAGAGCAGGACCUGUCUCAGAUGCUGUUCUCUAUGCUUCCCAAAACAGCCCAGCAGACCUAACUCUCUGGCCCUGGCCCUUCUCCACCUUCACGGCCCCAGCCCCCACUCGGGCCUCCGCUCUGGCCUGGACCCUCACCCAGCCUCUUCUCUCUCCCCUCCAAGUUUGUCCCCCAUGCGGCCCCACAGAAGGCUUCCAUUCCCAGAUCCAAAGGUUCCUCAUCUUUUCAAAAGCUUCUGUAACAAGGCAGCCUAUGUGGGGAGAAAGGGCAUUUCUUGGAAUCCUGCACACCCCCACAUGGAGAGGUUUAGGGCCUCAGGUCUCCCUUUAGGGUGGAGAUGGGGAGAGCCACAGCUGAGGCCUUCUCCAGGCUGGCCCUGGAUGCCCCCUGGGUGGAUGGGAACCUUCCCUCUUCCGGGAUUGUUGACAGGACGCUUGGAGGGCAAAGCAGGAAGCAAAAGGAGCGACUGUGGGUGUGGGAAUAAGCCCUGAGCUCCUGGACCUAAGAGGAAGCCAGUUUAUUCUAUAGCGCAGGGCUCUGUAACUCCUGCAACUCCGAGCCUCCACAGUUCCAGGGUCUGGCACCUCGUGGGGAUCAUGGCCAUGGUGAUCAGGCAUGAUUACCGCCCAUGCUGCCCAUCGGCAUUGCGUGGCCCCCAGCCCUGAGGUCUCUUCGCACAGCCACACACCUCAAGGCUGUCACAUGUGCCUGUCUCACCAGGACAGUCACACCUUGUCUCUUUUCACUGCUGUCACCUGAGUGAUCCACUCUGCUGUUCCUGUUUUCCCGCCCUCUAAUUGCCUCACACCUCAAAAAUGUGGAAUCACUUUAUAAGAAAUCUGUGUGUGUGUGUGAGUGUGAGUGUAUGUCUCUGAGCGUGUCUGUGUGCGAGUGUGUGUGUGUUCUAUCCUAGAGGAAGAUGCCUUCCCUAAGAUCAGGCUCAUCAGGCAGCCCCAACCCCUGCACUGAGCUCCAUGGCCAUCCUAGGAGGCAAGAAGAUUGUCCCACUUUACAGAUGGGUAAGUUGAGGCCAGGAGAGGGGCAGUGACACACCCAGAACUUCAUAGCCAGUAAGAGUGUGAGCCAUGCAGCCAUGGCAGAACCUAUGCCUACCCGACCCCAUCUGGACUUCCAGCUCUAGGCAAUUUCUGCAGCGUCCCUUCCCCCUCACCACCUUCAGCCCCUGGCUCUUAGAGCUGCCUUCAGCCUUCGUUUGGACAAGUAGCUGAGCUCAAUGUCUUCCCAGCUUUCCCCUCCCGGAUCACUGCCCAACUCUGGGGGCCUCCUUCCUCUGCCCUGGGCCCUCCCACAUACCCAUUUCUUAGGGGCUCCAAGUCCACAUCUCCCAUCUCCCCAUCCCCACACACUCACCCUGGGCAGCAGCCAGCUCCUGCAGGGCAUGGGUCAUCUGGGUGAAGGUGUCAUGCAGGUGGCUU